AGGAGCCCUGCUCCAGCCAUGCCCGCGUGUGCGAUGAAGGCCUUCGGAUUGUAAAGCACUUUUGGCAGGAAAGAAACGUCGCGGGUUAAUACCCCGCGAAACUGACGGUACCUGCAGAAUAAGCACCGGCUAACUACCUGCCAGCAGCCGCGGUAAUACGUAGGGUGCAAGCGUUAAUCGGAAUUACUGGGCGUAAAGCGGGCGCAGGCGGUUCGCAAAGAAAGAUGUGAAAUCCCCCAGCUUAACUUUGGAACUGCAUUUUUAACUACCGGGCUAGAGUGUGUCAGAGGGAGGUGGAAUUCCCCGGGUAGCAGGGAAAUGCGUAUAUAUGGGGAGGAACACCGAUGGCGAAGGCAGCCUCCUGGAAUAUCACUGACCCUCA
This 382-nucleotide ribosomal RNA is filed under the name Achromobacter pulmonis. Its description in RNAcentral is "bacterial SSU rRNA". It matches the Rfam family "Bacterial small subunit ribosomal RNA", at positions 376 to 749 of the family's 1533-position model. The record is from RNAcentral. Lineage: Bacteria; Pseudomonadati; Pseudomonadota; Betaproteobacteria; Burkholderiales; Alcaligenaceae.